AACGAACGCUGGCGGCAUGCCUAACACAUGCAAGUCGAACGAGACCUUCGGGUCUAGUGGCGCACGGGUGCGUAACGCGUGGGAACCUGCCUUUAGGUUCGGAAUAACUCCCCGAAAGGGGUGCUAAUACCGGAUAAUGUCUUCGGACCAAAGAUUUAUCGCCUUUGGAUGGGCCCGCGUUGGAUUAGCUAGUUGGUAGGGUAAAAGCCUACCAAGGCGACGAUCCAUAGCUGGUCUGAGAGGAUGAGCAGCCACACUGGGACUGAGACACGGCCCAGACUCCUACGGGAGGCAGCAGUGGGGAAUAUUGGACAAUGGGCGAAAGCCUGAUCCAGCAAUGCCGCGUGAGUGAUGAAGGCCUUAGGGUUGUAAAGCUCUUUUACCCGGGAUGAUAAUGACAGUACCGGGAGAAUAAGCUCCGGCUAACUCCGUG
This 433-nucleotide ribosomal RNA is filed under the name uncultured bacterium. Its description in RNAcentral is "partial 16S ribosomal RNA". It matches the Rfam family "Bacterial small subunit ribosomal RNA", at positions 29 to 507 of the family's 1533-position model. The record is from RNAcentral.